RNAcentral lists this long non-coding RNA (2290 nucleotides) under Homo sapiens (human). Its description in RNAcentral is "HSALNT0184607". Lineage: Eukaryota; Metazoa; Chordata; Mammalia; Primates; Hominidae. The record is from RNAcentral.
GUAAGUCAAGCUGUGGAGGGACUGGGUGUGGCUGAGCCCCGUGACAAGUGGGAGGAGCCAGGGAUGCUUGGGAGGGGAGGCACUGUGCGCGAGAGAGGAGGGAAAGGGGAAGCGUUCGUGCCUCUCUGCCCCCUGUCCCCCUCUUGCUGCAUAGUAGCCACAUCCAUGUCUCUUGUACCCUGCAAUCUGGAGGCCACUGCCAGAAGCUGGAAAUCUCAAGUAGAGCAGCAAAAGGCUUGAGGAUGGAUUCUUGGCUCCUGGUGCAUUGCCACUCCCUGCCACCCUCCUCCUUGUCUUCUAUCUUCUCCUGGUGGCGUCAGGCCUUGCUUCGUGUCCCAACAGGAGCCUCUGGGGCUGGCACAGCCCUCACUGCCUACAACCUGGGCCUGGUGGUUCUCCUAGGGUGCCUCUGGGAGGUCAUGGUCACCCCGCUGCUGGCUAACUGCAGCUACUUCUGCCAGCCAGUGGACUACAGAUGGAGAAAGCAUGGAAUGAGGGUAUGGCAGGGAGCAGGAAGCAAGCCUGGAGAGGGUUAGGAGGAACAACUUCAUAACAAUCGGAGGUCAAGGAGGCAUCUUCCUGGAGACAGGAAGGUAGGCACUGUGGAAUCAGCGGUGCGUAGAACAGUGAGGAUUUGGGGCUGAACCCAGCCCAGGUGGGCCAAGCCGUGGCACCAGCCGGACUGCAGUCUGAUGGAACUUCCCCUUCCUGCCCAGCAGAUGGCGAGCGUGUGCUGCUGGUGCCUCUUUCCAAAGGACGUUGAAUUGCUUGACAGGUGUUCUUUACUUUAUGAAUGAAGCCAGAGCAGCCCACCUUCCUGCAUCUCUACCACCAUGGCACCAUGCCCUGUGAUGGGUGGGCUGGAGUCAAAUAUGUAGCAGGCAGCCAGGGUCAGUUUGUGGCCACUGCUGCCCCCUCUUCCUACAGUCUCCUCACUGAGUGCCCCUUCCCUGUUGGGUUCAACACAUCUGUGCUCCUGUAAGCCCUCAGCCUCCUCGUUCUCUUCCUCAACUUCUACCACCAGACACAUCUGAGAAGCAAGCAAGAGAGGCUGAACUAGGAGCAGGACCCAGGGACUGAAACCAGCACAGCAUCCCCACAGAGAAUUGGGUGGAAGGCAGCAUGGCUUCCAGCUUACUGGUGCUGAGCAGAUUGCUCUGGGUCUCCAUUGUAUCCUCUGAAGGAAGGAGGAGGAUUGCCUUCUGUCCAGAUCUCAGGAUCAAACAAAUAGGUCCAAUUUCCUGUGCUCACUUCAGUUAGAGCACUUCUCAUGUGACUUUGUAGCUUUGUGUGCAUCUCCUUCCUCUACUAGACCUAAGCCCCUCACGGGAGGGACUCUCUUAUUCUUGAUGUUCCCCACACCUGGAAUUUCAAUAAACAUCUCAAUAAACGUGUGUGUUUGGAUCCUUGGAUCCCAUGACUGCCGUCAUAACCUUGGUGAAGAAGAGGGCUGGGAGUAGGAAAGAGGUCAAGGUUCGCUUGAUCUCUAACCCUAUAGUGGGAAAUUGUGACGGAGAAUAUUCAAGAGUGGGUGUGGGUCUGUUUGAUUUCAGGUGUAGCUGUGUAAAUAGUUAGCCCUGCAUAUAUUUUUGUCUACUCACAACUGCCUGCAUGUGUAUUCAUAGAGUUGUGUGAUUCUGUGUAUGUGCCUGGGGAGUGGGAGAGGGCCAUGUGCACAUGUCUGAAUACUUGUUUUCAAAUAUACAUGCAUGUUUCCAUUUGGGUUUCUCUCCAUUUGUGUUGUUUGCCUGCCUCUUCUGUAAGUCUCUGAAAGUGCCACAUUGGCAAAUAAAAGCCACUGGGAUCAAUAAUUCUCCUGUUCUGAUGGGAGACAUGGAAGCCCACUGAGAAAUCUCCGAAUACAUGUUCCACUAAGAGCUUCCAAAAAUAAAUGGGAAAAAAGGAGAAAUGGGGCACACCCAUCUUCUUCACAGAGAGGGAAACUGAGGACCAGCAAAGGGGAAUAUAUGACUGAGAUACUAUGGCAGAAGCAAAUAUUGGCUGAGCUGUUCAAACCCAGAAUAGGAUGGGUUUCUUGAAAGCAGUUUGCCUGGGAGCUGUCUCUAUGUCUCCAGUAUGAUGACUUUUCUCCUUUAUAAUUGCCCUUCGGCUGUUUUUCAUCUCUAGGUAAGUUCUUAUUUUGCCAUGCCUCAAUAGUCAAGAAAAUUAAAGAAUUGCUGAAGGUUAUGCAGUGCUAUUUGGGGACUGUGUCUCCAUCUGGCCUUUUAGUUAAUCAACCCAAGGCCAGGCAAGGCUACAUCCUGUGGACAGAAUACUCAGAGAAAAUUCC